RNAcentral lists this ribosomal RNA (3115 nucleotides) under wastewater metagenome. RNAcentral describes it as "bacterial LSU rRNA". It matches the Rfam family "Bacterial large subunit ribosomal RNA". The record is from RNAcentral.
GCAGGAAUCUGUGUUAUGCAGAUGCGCACCCAGCGAAGUGAAACAUCUCAGUAGCUGGAGGAAUAGAAAGCAAUAUACGGAACUUUCUUUCUGAACGGAUGCUUAGCAUCUCGUUCAGGAUUUAUUCUGGACGGUGGUGCGAAAGUACCAUUACGUUCAGGAAGAAGGUUCUUGCGAUUCCCUUAGUAGCGGCGAGCGAAACGGGAACAGCCCAAACCAAUCGUGUUUACAUGAUUGGGGUUGUAGGGCGGAGUUGGCAUUUAGUUGCAAUGAGUUACAAAUACUAUGUAUAGGAAAAUGUGCUGGGAAGCACGACCCCAGAAGGUAAUAGUCCUGUAUUCGAAAUGCAUAGUGCUCAUCUGAUUCCGUUCCUGAGUAGUUCGAGACAUGAAUAGCUCGGAUGAAUCUACCAGAACUAACUGGUAAGGCUAAAUAUUCUUGGAGACCGAUAGUGAACUAGUACCGUGAGGGAAAGGUGAAAAGAACCCCGGAGAGGGGAGUGAAAUAGAACUGAAUCCAUACACCUACAAGGAGUCGGAGCCUUCAAUUUAUUGGGGGUGACGGCGUGCCUAUUGAAGAAUGAGCCGGCGAGUGUACCUUUAUCCUUUGUCUAAGUGGCAAUCCCACGGAGGCGUAGUGAAAGCGAGCGUGAAUAGCGCGAAUUAUAGGGUAGGGGUACGACCCGAAGCGUGAUGAGCUUACCAUGAGCAGGGUGAAGCGCAUGUAAAAGUGCGUGGAGGCCCGAACCGGUUGGCCGUUCAAAACCAUCGGAUGACUUGUGGUAAGGAGUGAAAAGCUUAUCGAAUUACGUAAUAGCUGGUUCUCUCCGAAACAGCUUUUGGGUUGGCGUCGUGUGGUCCCUCUGGGGGUAGAGCACUGGAAGGAGCAAACAGGGAGAAAUCUCGUUGCUCCUAUCAAACUCCGAAUACCAGCAGGCAACAGCACGGCAGUUAGACAGUGGGGGAGAAGCUCCAUGUGUCGAAAGGGAAACAGCCCAGAUCGCCAGUUAAGGUCCCUAAAUAUAUGCUCAGUGCAACUUGAGGAGGUGAGGAUUCAUUAACAAUCAGGAAGUUGGCUUAGAAGCAGCCAUCUUUUAAAGAAAGCGUAACAGCUCACUGAUCGAGAGUCCUUGCGCCGAAGAUGAUCGGGGCUCAAGCAUAUUACCGAAACUGCGGAUUUCCAUGAUUUAUCAUGGGAGUGGUAGGAGAGCGUUCGUAUUGCAAUGAAUGGGAGGCGAGAGCCGACCUGGAGCGAUGCGAAGUGAGAAUGCCGGCACAAGUAACCGCAAGACGGGUGGGAACCCCGUCCGCCGAAAUACCAAGGUUUCCUUUGCGAUGGUGAUCAGCGAAGGGUUAGUCGGUCCUAAGGGAAUCCCGAAUGGGGGACUCGAUGGAGAGCAGGUUAAUAUUCCUGCACACUGUACCGUUGCGAUGGAGGGACGGAGGGUUGUACUUGACGCGGCUUAUUGGAUUGCCGUAGGAGGUUCGAGGAGGUCACGUAGGCAAAUCCGCGUGGCAAUACUCCGAGUUCAAACUAAUAGAUGAGGCUACGGCCAAAUCGAUGUCAAGGAGCACGCUUCCGAGAAAAACUUCUAAGCAUAAACGUACCGGUUCCGUACCGCAAUCCGACACAGGUGGUAGAGUCGAGAAGACUAAGGCGAACGAGUGAGAGGUCCUCAAGGAACUCGGCAAACAAGCGGCCGUAACUUAGGGAUAAGGCCUGCCUUUAUAGAAAUAUAAAGGCCGCAGCGAAAGAUUUCCUGCCGACUGUUUAUCAAAAACACAGCUCCCUGCGAAGACGUAAGUCAAUGUAUAGGGGGUGACGCCUGACCUAUGCUGGAAGGUUAAAUACGGGGGGUCGUAUGUUCUUCGGAAUGUGCGGCUGGACUGUAUAAGCCCCAGUAAAUGUCAGCGAUAACUAUAAUCGUUCUAAGGUCGUGCGUGUUUCUUCGGAAAUCCGCACGACGGAUUGGAACGGUUAUAGAGAUAAACAGCCUAGCCAUAGUUACCUUACAUACAGAAAUGUAUGCAUUAUCCAAAUCUAGCCUACAAGAGACCAAAUGCUAGAAACCCAAGUGUUCCUUGUGAAUAACGGGUUAAGAUAGAGUCCUGCAGUGAAAUGUCUUUGAAAAGCAAUUUUCAAAGAAGAAGGAAAUGUAGAGCGUAUUUCCUUGUCGGGUAAGUUCCGACGUGCACGAAUGGCGUAACGAGUGGGAAACUGUCUCGAGGACCUGCUCGGUGAAAAUACAAUCGCGGUAAAGAUGCCGCGUACCUGCAGAUAGACGAAAAGACCCCAGGUGCUUUACUGUAGCUUCGUAUUGGGGCUAUUGAAUUAAUGCGUAGUAUAGGUGUGAGGCUUUGAAGUGGGCUUUCGGGUACCAUGGAGCCGCCAGUGAAAUAGCACCCUUUAAUUUGGUAGUCUCUAACCCGUGUGGUAAAACCUCACAGGGACAGUGCGUGGCAGGCAGUUUUAGUGGGGCGCUACCCUCCCAAAAAGUAACGGAGGGGUCUCAAGGUUGGUUAGCCGCGAAUGGAAACCGUGGCGAUAGUGUAAUGGCAUAAACCAGCUUGACUGUAAGAGGUAGAUCUCGAACAGACACGAAAGUGGAGCAUAGUGAACCGAUGGCUCGCGUUAGAUGCGGCCGGAGAUUACCCGAUAAAAGUAACCCUGGGGAUAACAGGCUAGUCGUGCCCAAGCGUCCAUAGCGACGGCACGGUUCGGCACCUUAACUUAUAUAAGUUUCAAAACAAUAUACAUCGGGGUGCCUAGAGUAGCGAUACUCUACAAAAACAAAUCGGCUAUUACGGUGAACGCCAUGCCAGCCGCUACUACUUAUGUAGUAGAAUGAGGACAUGGUCAAUACCGUGGAAAGGCUAAAUCAAUUCCAAAGGUCAGUAAUUAUUGGCACCGUACUUGGUGAUGGAUACCUUCGUAUCGUCCCAGGUCGCCAACAUGCCUUUUUGGAAGUAAAUCAUGCACUUAGUCAGCAAGAGUACGUAUGGUGGAAAUACCAGGUACUUGAAGGAGUUAGAGCUGGAGCACCAAAAGUGCGUAAUGGAAAUGGUGGGCGUACAGCAGUACGCUUCCAUACCAAACAAUCUGAAGAAUUAACAGA